AUGAUGUGGAUUAAUUCGAUGCAACGCGAAAACCUUACCUACCCUUGACAUGCCAGGAACUUGCCAGAGAUGGCUUGGUGCCCGAAAGGGAGCCUGGACACAGGUGCUGCAUGGCUGUCGUCAGCUCGUGUCGUGAGAUGUUGGGUUAAGUCCCGCAACGAGCGCAACCCUUGUCAUUAGUUGCCAUCAUUCAGUUGGGCACUCUAAUGAGACUGCCGGUGACAAACCGGAGGAAGGUGGGGAUGACGUCAAGUCCUCAUGGCCCUUAUGGGUAGGGCUUCACACGUCAUACAAUGGUCGGUACAGAGGGUUGCCAAGCCGCGAGGUGGAGCCAAUCCCAGAAAGCCGAUCGUAGUCCGGAUUGUUCUCUGCAACUCGAGAGCAUGAAGUCGGAAUCGCUAGUAAUCGCGGAUCAGCAUGUCGCGGUGAAUACGUUCCCGGGUCUU
This 446-nucleotide ribosomal RNA is filed under the name uncultured Azospira sp. Its description in RNAcentral is "bacterial SSU rRNA". It matches the Rfam family "Bacterial small subunit ribosomal RNA", at positions 936 to 1382 of the family's 1533-position model. Lineage: Bacteria; Pseudomonadati; Pseudomonadota; Betaproteobacteria; Rhodocyclales; Rhodocyclaceae. The record is from RNAcentral.